AUUGAACGCUGGCGGCAGGCUUAACACAUGCAAGUCGAACGAGCGGCGGACGGGUGAGUAAUGUCUGGGAAACUGCCUGAUGGAGGGGGAUAACUACUGGAAACGGUAGCUAAUACCGCAUACCAUCAGAUGUGCCCAGCUGGGAUUAGCUAGUAGGUGGGGUAAUGGCUCACCUAGGCGCCGAUCCCUAGCUGGUCUGAGAGGAUGACCAGCCACACUGGACCUGAGACACGGUAAAGACUACUACGGGAGGCAGCAGUGGGGAAUAUUGCACAAUGGGCGCAAGUCUGAUGGAGCCAUGCCGCGUGUGUGAAGAAGGCCUUCGGGUUGUAAAGCACUUUCAGCGAGGAGGCGUUACUCGCAGAAGAAGCACCGGCUAACUCCGUGCCAGCAGCCGCGGUAAUAC
This 406-nucleotide ribosomal RNA is filed under the name uncultured bacterium. Its description in RNAcentral is "partial 16S ribosomal RNA". It matches the Rfam family "Bacterial small subunit ribosomal RNA", at positions 30 to 526 of the family's 1533-position model. The record is from RNAcentral.